CCCAAAAUCCAAAGAUACACCCACUUUCAUCUCUCAUCCAAUGAAUACUCUCUUUUCUUUUCUUUGAUUCAACUGACCAGGGACAAUCUUUUUGAUUUUUUCUUAGCUCAACUCUUUUCUUUUGUUUUCCCCCACUCACUUAUUGUUUUUUUUUUUUUUUUGGAAGGAGGUUAUGUUGAUACUCUAGAGCUUUUCCUUUCUAACUUUCUUUGUCCCUAGGGGUUUCUUACUUUAAACACUCUUUUUGGUUGAAGAUUCUCCAUAUUAACAAUGAGAGUUGUGUUAAUAUUUUCCAAACUGUUGGACUUCUCUUGCUCUCUGAAAUCCGCCAUACUUUCUACUUCAUCUCUAUGCAUCUUUGUUUCUUCUUUGUAUAUCUACAUCUAUGUUUCUUAUAUGUUUCAUUUUCAUUACUUUCUUUCUCUAUCAUUUACUCUUGCUUCAUCUCUCUCCCCAAUUUUCGCCAUCUCUGUCUCAUAAAUAAGAGAAACAUAAAACCUAAUUAAAAUUUUCUCCAAAUCAGUUUGAGUUUAG
RNAcentral lists this long non-coding RNA (534 nucleotides) under Brassica rapa (field mustard). RNAcentral's name for it is "long non-coding RNA (BRAP_LNC000410)". The record is from RNAcentral. Lineage: Eukaryota; Viridiplantae; Streptophyta; Magnoliopsida; Brassicales; Brassicaceae.